Molecule: non-coding RNA, 68 nt
Organism: Gongylonema pulchrum
Lineage: Eukaryota; Metazoa; Nematoda; Chromadorea; Rhabditida; Gongylonematidae
Source: Rfam
UUGCUGUGCAGCGCUAUAGCGCUGCACAGCAAAGACGCAUAAAGAUACAUGUAAAGGGCUACAGAAUU